GAACGAGGGGAAUUGAAACAUCUUAGUACCCUCAGGAAAAGAAAUCAAAAGAGAUUACGCUAGUAGCGGCGAGCGAACGCGUAAGAGGGCAAACCACUAGUUUACUAGUGGGGUUGUAGGACUGCAAUAUAGACUAAACUUAGCUAAUAGAACAACCUGGAAAGGUUAGGCACAGAGGGUGAUACUCCCGUAUAUGAAAGCUUUGUUUUACUUAGCAGUAUCCUGAGUAGGGCGGAACACGUGAUAUUCUGUCUGAAGCUGGGUAGACCACUAUCCAACCCUAAAUACUACUACUAGACCGAUAGUGCACAAGUACCGUGAGGGAAAGGUGAAAAGAACUGAGGUGAUCAGAGUGAAAUAGAACCUGAAACCAUUUGCUUACAAUCAUUCAGAGCCCUAUGAUUUAUCAGGGUGAUGGACUGCCUUUUGCAUAAUGAGCCUGCGAGUUGUGAUGUCUGGCGAGGUUAAGGAAACCCGGAGCCGUAGCGAAAGCGAGUCUUAAUAGGGCGUUUAGUCAGACGUUGCAGACCCGAAACGAUGUGAU
RNAcentral lists this ribosomal RNA (544 nucleotides) under Corynebacterium sp. BCW_4722. RNAcentral's name for it is "bacterial LSU rRNA". It matches the Rfam family "Bacterial large subunit ribosomal RNA", at positions 181 to 729 of the family's 2925-position model. The record is from RNAcentral. Lineage: Bacteria; Bacillati; Actinomycetota; Actinomycetes; Mycobacteriales; Corynebacteriaceae.